This 253-nucleotide ribosomal RNA is filed under the name uncultured bacterium. Its description in RNAcentral is "partial 16S ribosomal RNA". It matches the Rfam family "Bacterial small subunit ribosomal RNA", at positions 524 to 776 of the family's 1533-position model. The record is from RNAcentral.
UACAGAGGUCUCAAGCGUUGUUCGGAUUCAUUGGGCGUAAAGGGUGCGUAGGCGGCGCCGUAAGUCAGGUGUGAAAUCUCGGGGCUCAACCCCGAAACUGCACUUGAUACUGCGGUGCUCGAGGACUCGAGAGGAGAUUGGAAUUCACGGUGUAGCAGUGAAAUGCGUAGAUAUCGUGAGGAAGACCAGUGGCGAAGGCGGAUCUCUGGAGAGUUCCUGACGCUGAGGCACGAAGGCCAGGGGAGCAAACGGG